RNAcentral lists this ribosomal RNA (765 nucleotides) under Triticum aestivum (bread wheat). RNAcentral's name for it is "partial small subunit ribosomal RNA". Lineage: Eukaryota; Viridiplantae; Streptophyta; Magnoliopsida; Poales; Poaceae. The record is from RNAcentral.
AUGUCGACUUCUCUGGUCUGUGCUAUUUGUUCAGCUUCUGACAGUUGGAGGCACGCUUUGUUCAGUUGUCAUAUGGCGGGUAGUGUGUGGGCUUUAGCUCCGGCUGAGAUGGUGGAGCAUAUGCAAGCAAACCUGGAGCUGGAAGCAAGGGACUGGUUGUUUCUGAUGCAUGAAACUCUGGCCCAAAAUGAUUUCACAAGAUUGGUGGUCACUUUGUGGGCAAUCUGGAGAGACAUAAGGAAAGAUAUUGCUCAAGCAAGGAACCAGCCGGCCAGGGCGCAGUUGUGGAUUGCACCACCGAUGGAAUAUGUAAAACUGAAUACCGAUGCGGCAGUAGCGAGGAAUGGAAGUUAUGGUUCGGUUGCGGCUUUGUGCCGCGACGCGGAAGGCAUUUUUCUGGGGGCUUCAUGCAUAACAUUCAGGAACAUUUCGGAUCCUGAGAUUCUGGAGGCUUUGGCAGUAAGAGAAGCCUUGGCUUUGGCGAACGAUCUAUAUGAGCAGAGGAUACAAGUGGCAUCGGACUGCCAGAAUGUGGUGCACGGAAUAAAGGAAGGAUCAGCAGCGGAGAAUGGAGCUAUAAUUCGCGAAAUCAUAGACCAUUCGACCUCGUUUACUUCUUGUAACAUAGUUCACGAGCAAAGAGCCUCGAAUACCGAGGCUCACAAUCUCGCUAAGCAUGCUUUAUCAUUAGGGGUUGGCCGCCAUGUAUGGUUUGGCCAGCCCGGCGAUCUUCUUUUUGUACCUGUAAACAUUAUGGACACAUGA